UGGGGAAUUUUGGACAAUGGGCGAAAGCCUGAUCCAGCAAUGCCGCGUGUGUGAAGAAGGCCUUCGGGUUGUAAAGCACUUUUGUCCGGAAAGAAAUCCUUGGCUCUAAUACAGUCGGGGGAUGACGGUACCGGAAGAAUAAGCACCGGCUAACUACGUGCCAGCAGCCGCGGUAAUACGUAGGGUGCAAGCGUUAAUCGGAAUUACUGGGCGUAAAGCGUGCGCAGGCGGUUUUGUAAGACGGAUGUGAAAUCCCCGGGCUUAACCUGGGAACUGCAUUCGUGACUGCAAGGCUAGAGUAUGGCAGAGGGGGGUAGAAUUCCACGUGUAGCAGUGAAAUGCGUAGAGAUGUGGAGGAAUACCGAUGGCGAAGGCAGCCCCCUGGGCCAAUACUGACGCUCAUGCACGAAAGCGUGGGGAGCAAAACAGGAUUAGAUACCCUGGUAGUCCACGCCCUAAACGAUGUCAACUAGUUGUUGGGGAUUCAUUUCCUUAGUAACGUAGCUAACGCGUGAAGUUGACCGCCUGGGGAGUACGGUCGCAAGAUUAAAACUCAAAUGAAUUGACGGGGUCAUAGCUGUUUCCU
Molecule: ribosomal RNA, 586 nt
Filed under: uncultured bacterium
Lineage: Bacteria
Description: partial 16S ribosomal RNA
Rfam family: Bacterial small subunit ribosomal RNA
Source: RNAcentral